Musa acuminata subsp. malaccensis (wild Malaysian banana) is the source of this 914-nucleotide long non-coding RNA. RefSeq lists it as uncharacterized. NCBI's taxonomy places the organism in Eukaryota, Viridiplantae, Streptophyta, Magnoliopsida, Zingiberales, Musaceae. The record is from RefSeq and is a predicted model, not a curated record.
CCAAACAUACGCUAUGGCCCAACCGAGCCUAAAUGGAGUGUGGCCCCUUUUCCACCUCCCUCUCCUACUCGAUCCCUCGCCACUGCUGCCGGCGAUAUUGGCGACGCUCGGGCAGACAGGCGAUCUUCGCAACGCUUAGACUCCGGCAGCGCUCUCCAAGGCCUGCCGUGUAAUUGAUGAUGUUGGACUUUGGAUUAUCAAAGGGCUUAGAUGUGGCAACAUAUGUCGCAGGAGGCUGGUGAUUUAACUUGAAAGCAAUGGUUGUUACAUUCCACAAUCCCAGUGCAGCUUCUAUCCUCGGGAAACUUAAUGAUUGCCUUCUUACACCCGCAGUUAUAUGAAGGUUAUCAAGCUUCAAAGGAUGGCAUUGCUAUGUACAUCGAGCGCACUAGAUGCAGCUCCAUCGUCGGAUCAUAUCAAUGUAGCUAGGUGGUACAACAAUCACAUUGAUCCUCUGUUUAAGUUGUGGUAUGUGCUUGAACUUGGUUUAGUUUAUUUGAACACAGGAGUCAUACGGGUCAUGCUGUUUGACCUGUAUGAUCUGAUAGUAGAGGCAUCUCUGAGGAAGACAAGGCUGCGAAAAUUAAGACAUCUGCGACUGAGGAGGCCUCGUCCUUUGCUGCUGUUAUUGACAAGUUACAAAUUCAAGCCUGAGCAGCUGAGGAAGAUGUGAUGUGGAUUUGUUUGGAGGCAGCUGAAGAGCGUGGAUCAUCGGCAAAGAAGAAAGAAGGUGAGUUUGAUACAUGUGUUUUGAGUAUUUCAUUCUAUAGUUGUUGAUCGGGUCUCUGUGUUUCAGGAUAUGUAUCCUAAUCAACAACAAUGUUUGUAAUCUUUCUAAUUGUACGAACAUGGUUACGUACCUACGCUCUUUCAGUUGUUUUAUUGUCAUCACAAACUUAACAUUCUUAUGGACA